RNAcentral lists this ribosomal RNA (253 nucleotides) under uncultured bacterium. Its description in RNAcentral is "partial 16S ribosomal RNA". It matches the Rfam family "Bacterial small subunit ribosomal RNA", at positions 524 to 776 of the family's 1533-position model. The record is from RNAcentral.
UACGUAGGGGGCGAGCGUUGUCCGGAAUCAUUGGGCGUAAAGCGCGUGUAGGCGGCCCGGUAAGUCCGCUGUGAAAGUCCAGGGCUCAACCCUGGGAUGCCGGUGGAUACUGUCGGGCUCGAGUCCGGAAGAGGCGAGUGGAAUUCCUGGUGUAGCGGUGAAAUGCGCAGAUAUCAGGAGGAACACCAAUUGCGAAGGCAGCUCGCUGGGACGUAACUGACGCUGAGACGCGAAAGCGUGGGGAGCAAACAGG